This 459-nucleotide ribosomal RNA is filed under the name Coquillettidia linealis. RNAcentral describes it as "eukaryotic LSU rRNA". The stretch from base 1 to 129 matches the Rfam family "5.8S ribosomal RNA", at positions 24 to 154 of the family's 154-position model. The record is from RNAcentral. Lineage: Eukaryota; Metazoa; Arthropoda; Insecta; Diptera; Culicidae.
GCUCGUGGAUCGAUGAAGACCGCAGCUAAAUGCGCGUCAGAAUGUGAACUGCAGGACACAUGAACACCGACAAGUUGAACGCAUAUUGCACAUCGUACAACAGUACGAUGUACACAUUUUUGAGUGCCUAUACUUAUCGAUUUAACUAUGCGCGGGGCGGCGUGUGUGUGUGUGGGUGCGCGGUGUUGUGCGCGCGUUCGAGUCGCCGGCGCGCGAUGUUUGGACAUGCGGGUACACGGCCACACCGUACGCGCCCUUCACACGCCCUGUGCGCAUGCGCAGUGAUGAUGUAAAACAUUGAAGAUAGUCAGACGCGCGCGCGACGCGCGGUUGAUGAGAGUACAAUCCCAUACUCCAGCUUGGCUUGGAUACGUUGUACUUACUCGUUGACAGACGACAGACAGGGUAUAUAUAUAUAGUAGGCCUCAAAUAAUGUGUGACUACCCCCUAAAUUUAAGC